This 217-nucleotide unclassified non-coding RNA is filed under the name Hevea brasiliensis (rubber tree). Lineage: Eukaryota; Viridiplantae; Streptophyta; Magnoliopsida; Malpighiales; Euphorbiaceae. The record is from RNAcentral.
GGACUCCUCGCUCCCCUACCUGGCCAGCAUAAAGUAUUCGUAGCCUCAAGAUACAGUAAAAGGUGCAAUUAUGUUUACCCAAAACAUGAAUUCUCUCCGUUUUUUUUUUUCUCACAAAAAUCAAGGUCAGAAUUACUGAAGUGGUGAAGCAUCAAAUGAAAAUAUUUACAUGACUUAUCAUAGUGAAAUAAUAUUUGCUCUAAUUUUUCUUACAUAU